CACAGUGAUGCCACUGAAACCAGACUUCGGACUUUGGGAACCAGCCACAGAUGUCUCCUCCAAGAACCCUCCAACCACACCGCACAGCAGCCUGUGGCCUCUACUUACACACCACCUGUGAUGGGGUGCUCUCUCACCACAGCCCUCACAGUGACCCUCGGCCCCUGACUACUGCUGUCACCCCCAUUUUACAGCUGAGGAGCCUGAGGCUCCGAGUGAGGAGGUGAGCAGUCCAGGGUCAGAGGCAGAGCUGUGACCCAACUCCAGGUGAAACUGACCCACAAGUCGUGGACCACCUGGCCUCAGACUUCUGGAUGGCAUUAGCUUGGCUGAGGCCCCAGUGCUGUCCCUGGGCAGCUGCCCUCUCUCAGUCCUCAUCCUCCAGGCUUCUUCCCAUUCUGAGCAGACAGAUGCUGAGCACCCUUUAAGUGACAGAGCUUGGGUGUGAACCCAGAGCUCAUGCCCUGGCAGUCAAACCUUCCUUUCCCUUUGUUUAAAGCUGCUCUGAUGGACGACUCCAAGUUCAAGGUCUGAGGUCAAGGCUGCUCACCCAGCAGGCACACUCAAGACUUCUAGUCUAGGUUUCCUGGGCCCAGAGACUGGACUCUGAGUCAUUCCAGGAAACCUUCAGAACAGCCCCAGAAUGUUCCUGGAACAAGGGGACAUGGUCAGAAGCCCACUGAGCUGGGGCCUGGUCUGUCAGACCAGACACUCUGCAGAGGUGACAGGAGAUGCCCCAUCAGGGCUGCUUACCUUGUAGGGGACACCCCAGGUCACAGAGGCACCACCAAGCCUAUAACAGAAGCCCAGGGACCCAGCUACCCUCCCCCAGCCCUGCUUCUCCAGGACCAGACACCACUUCUGAACCCAGGGACUCUGACCCAAAGGACUGGAGCCGUGGUACAGCCCAGCUGGGCACUGAGCCCUCCCAGUUAACACAACAGCCCCACAAGGCACAAACUCUGAGCAGCCCCACUGUAUAGAGGAGGAAACUGAGGCCCAGAGAGGGAAUGCCACUUGCCUAAGGCCCCAGAGCUGAGAAAAAAAAGCUAAUUCAUCAUUUGAACUUGGGCCCAUUACACUCCUGUCACUGGGUUUUCCAGGAUGGUUUAUUUUAAGCAGCAGCGGUUGUUUUCAAAGUUUUAUAGGGAACCUCGCACUAUCAUGCAGAUAAGACCAUGUGUCUGGGGUUUAUUUGCUUUUCAUGCUAUUAGGGCCUUGAGACUUUUUAAAAACAAAGAGUAGAGUCUUUAUCUGCACUUGCAUUUUUCCAAAAGCUUUACAUUACAUUUGGAAUAAAAUAUGAACUCCUCACGGGACCCUCUGCCUG
Molecule: long non-coding RNA, 1330 nt
Filed under: Sus scrofa (pig)
Lineage: Eukaryota; Metazoa; Chordata; Mammalia; Artiodactyla; Suidae
Description: lncRNA (ENSSSCG00015050037.1)
Source: RNAcentral